UCAUUUCUCAAUAUAAAAACCACAAGGUCCAACUGUAAUAAACCCAUAGUUGAAGGUUCACACAUGAUCUAAACCAAAAAAACAAAAAUCAAUCAAUAAAUACACACCUGCAUCUUGACCGCUUUCUCCCCCUUUCAACUUCAUCCCGUCACUCCAGAUCUGCAUCUUAUAUAAAUGGAUGUUAGUUGGUGAUGUUCCAUGGAUGAUGUUUGUUGAAUCAUGUAAAAGAAUAAGAUUAAUGAAGAACUCGGAAGCGGUUAAUGGUUCAGAAUUGUUGGAGAAGUGUUAACAAGGCGAGAUUUUAGACGAUGGGCAUCGAAGAUUGGGAGUUGGAAACUUUUGGUGUAGUUGUUUAUAGAGGAAAAUUGUUUUGUAAUUUUUUACAUGAUUAGGGGAAUAGUUAAAAAUUAGCUAGGGAUAUUAUUAUAGUACAUAAAAUGCACAUGAAUGAUUUGCUUACACAUUGAGAAGGAUGUUGUAGUUCUAUCAUCUAUGUGGCAUUUCAUCGAACAAGUACCAAAUGAAAAUUAAACAUUGGUUAAAUAGUA
Molecule: long non-coding RNA, 548 nt
Organism: Helianthus annuus (common sunflower)
Lineage: Eukaryota; Viridiplantae; Streptophyta; Magnoliopsida; Asterales; Asteraceae
Exons: 3
Source: RefSeq, a predicted model, not a curated record